CGGAACCACCACACGAACUAUCAAGAGAAGUCUCAUUGAACCUGCGGUUGCACGAAAAGUCAUGGCAUCUACCACAUAUAUGCUUAUGCUUGCUGUUCUUGUUUUGGUAAUGCUGCUUCAUGCUACGAGCCAAGUCCAUGGCAUGAGGCGGGCUCCCCCUCCUG
This is a long non-coding RNA of Dermacentor albipictus, 164 nucleotides long. RefSeq lists it as uncharacterized. The record is from RefSeq and is a predicted model, not a curated record. Lineage: Eukaryota; Metazoa; Arthropoda; Arachnida; Ixodida; Ixodidae.